GAGGGUAUAGCUCAGUGGCAGAGUGCAUGCAUCACAUGCAUGAGGUCCUGGGUUCAAUCCCCAGUACCUCCA
This 72-nucleotide transfer RNA is filed under the name Camelus dromedarius (Arabian camel). It matches the Rfam family "tRNA". From Rfam's summary of the family: Transfer RNA (tRNA) molecules are approximately 80 nucleotides in length. Their secondary structure includes four short double-helical elements and three loops (D, anti-codon, and T loops). Further hydrogen bonds mediate the characteristic L-shaped molecular structure. tRNAs have two regions of fundamental functional importance: the anti-codon, which is responsible for specific mRNA codon recognition, and the 3' end, to which the tRNAs corresponding amino acid is attached (by aminoacyl-tRNA synthetases). tRNAs cope with the degeneracy of the genetic code in two manners: having more than one tRNA (with a specific anti-codon) for a particular amino acid; and 'wobble' base-pairing, i.e. permitting non-standard base-pairing at the 3rd anti-codon position. The record is from Rfam by way of RNAcentral. RNAcentral also lists the same sequence under 1 other name. Lineage: Eukaryota; Metazoa; Chordata; Mammalia; Artiodactyla; Camelidae.